ACACGGACCAAGGAGUGCAACACGCGUGCGAGUCUGUGGGUGAGCGAGACCCUUUGGCGCAAUGAGAGUGAAGGCGGACGCCUGGUCCGUCGAGGCAGGAGCCGUGCUGAGGUUCGGCCCACUGUUGACCGAUCCGUGUCACGCUGUGGCGGGAUUCGAGUGAGAGCGUGCCUGUUGCGACCCGAAAGAUGGUGAACUAUGCCUGAAUAGGGCGAAGCCAGAGGAAACUCUGGUGGAAGCUCGCAGCGGUUCUGACGUGCAAAUCGAUCGUCAAAUUUGGGUAUAGGGGCGAAAGACUAAUCGAACCAUCUAGUAGCUGGUUCCCUCCGAAGUUUCCCUCAGGAUAGCUGGAGCCCGGAGCAGUUUUAUCAGGUAAAGCGAAUGAUUAGAGGUCUUGGGGUUGAAACAACCUCAACCUAUUCUCAAACUUUAAAUGGGUAAGAAGUCCGGCUUGCUCGGUUGAAGUCGGACGGUGGAAUGCCGGGGCUCCCAGUGGGCCAUUUUUGGUAAGCAGAACUGGCGAUGCGGGAUGAACCGAACGCCGGGUUAAGGUGCCCGAAUCGACGCUCAUCAGAUCCCAUGAAAGGUGUUGGUUGAUCUAGACAGCAGGACGGUGGCCAUGGAAGUCGGAAUCCGCUAAGGAGUGUGUAACAACUCACCUGCCGAAUCAACUAGCCCUGAAAAUGGAUGGCGCUGAAGCGUCGUACCCACACCCGGCCGUCGGGUCGAGUGGCAGGUCCCGACGAGUAGGAGGGCGCGGCGGUGGCAGUGCAGCCUCGGGCGCGAGUCCGGGCGAAGCCGCCGCCGGUGCGGAUCUUGGUGGUAGUAGCAAAUAUUCAAACGAGAUCUUUGAAGACUGAAGUGGGGAAGGGUUCCAUGUCGACAGCAGUUGGACAUGGGUUAGUCGAUCCUAAGAGGAGGGAGAGGUCCCCUUGCAAGGCGCAGUCGUCUCGUUGCGACGGCGCCGUUCCUCGAAAGGGAGUCGGGUUAAGAUUCCCGAACCGGGAGGCGGAUAGGCCUUCGGGCCGCGAGCGGCGACGCAAGCGAACUCGGAGACGUCGGCGGGAGCUCCGGGAAGAGUUCUCUUUUCUUCUUAACGGGCUGUCCCCCUGGAAUCAGAUUGGCUGGAGAUAGGGUCUAAUGCCCGGUAAAGCGCCACACUUGUUGUGGCGUCCGGUGCGCUCCCGACGGCCCGUGAAAAUCCGAGGGAGCGGUUGAUUUUCGCGCCCGGUCGUACCGAUAUCCGCAUCAGGUCUCCAAGGUGAACAGCCUCUAGUUGAUAGAACAAUGUAGGUAAGGGAAGUCG
This 1306-nucleotide ribosomal RNA is filed under the name Dictyonella sp. NCI228. RNAcentral describes it as "eukaryotic LSU rRNA". It matches the Rfam family "Eukaryotic large subunit ribosomal RNA", at positions 659 to 1916 of the family's 3401-position model. Lineage: Eukaryota; Metazoa; Porifera; Demospongiae; Bubarida; Dictyonellidae. The record is from RNAcentral.